RNAcentral lists this ribosomal RNA (420 nucleotides) under bacterium. Its description in RNAcentral is "partial 16S ribosomal RNA". It matches the Rfam family "Bacterial small subunit ribosomal RNA", at positions 355 to 776 of the family's 1533-position model. The record is from RNAcentral.
UGGGGGAUAUUGCACAAUGGGCGAAAGCCUGAUGCAGCGACGCCGCGUGGGGGAUGAAGGCUUUCGGGUUGUAAACCUCUUUCGCUAUCGAACAAGGCCCGCUUAGGGUGGGUUGAGGGUAGCUGGAGAAGAAGCGCCGGCUAACUACGUGCCAGCAGCCGCGGUAAUACGUAGGGCGCGAGCGUUGUCCGGAAUUAUUGGGCGUAAAGGGCUUGUAGGCGGCUUGUUGCGCCUGCUGUGAAAACGCGGGGCUUAACUUCGCGCGUGCAGUGGGUACGGGCAGGCUUGAGUGUGGUAGGGGUGACUGGAAUUCCAGGUGUAGCGGUGGAAUGCGCAGAUAUCUGGAGGAACACCGAUGGCGAAGGCAGGUCACUGGGCCAUUACUGACGCUGAGGAGCGAAAGCAUGGGUAGCGAACAGG